RNAcentral lists this ribosomal RNA (464 nucleotides) under Vreelandella stevensii. Its description in RNAcentral is "partial 16S ribosomal RNA". It matches the Rfam family "Bacterial small subunit ribosomal RNA", at positions 338 to 795 of the family's 1533-position model. Lineage: Bacteria; Pseudomonadati; Pseudomonadota; Gammaproteobacteria; Oceanospirillales; Halomonadaceae. The record is from RNAcentral.
CCUACGGUGGCUGCAGUGGGGAAUAUUGGACAAUGGGCGAAAGCCUGAUCCAGCCAUGCCGCGUGUGUGAAGAAGGCCUUCGGGUUGUAAAGCACUUUCAGUGGGGAAGAAAGCCUUGGGGCUAAUACCCUCGAGGAAGGACAUCACCCACAGAAGAAGCACCGGCUAACACCGUGCCAGCAGCCGCGGUAAUACGGAGGGUGCGAGCGUUAAUCGGAAUUACUGGGCGUAAAGCGCGCGUAGGCGGUCUGAUAAGCCGGUUGUGAAAGCCCCGGGCUCAACCUGGGAACGGCAUCCGGAACUGUCAGGCUAGAGUGCAGGAGAGGAAGGUAGAAUUCCCGGUGUAGCGGUGAAAUGCGUAGAGAUCGGGAGGAAUACCAGUGGCGAAGGCGGCCUUCUGGACUGACACUGACGCUGAGGUGCGAAAGCGUGGGUAGCAAACAGGAUUAGAUACCCCAGUAGUC